RNAcentral lists this microRNA precursor (108 nucleotides) under Ovis aries (sheep). Its description in RNAcentral is "miRNA (ENSOARG00000023798.1)". The stretch from base 20 to 102 matches the Rfam family "mir-1343 microRNA precursor family". The record is from RNAcentral. Lineage: Eukaryota; Metazoa; Chordata; Mammalia; Artiodactyla; Bovidae.
AAGGAACAGAACGAUGAUUCUGGCUUCGGUGCUGGGGAGCGGACCCCGGAGUGGGCCACCCCUCCGGCCUCUCUUGGGGCCCGCACUCUCGCUCCGGGCCCGCUCCAC